GGGACAACAGUUGGAAACGACUGCUAAUACCGCAUGACGCAUAGAGGUCGCAUGAUCUUUAUGCCAAAGAUUUAUCGCUUCAAGAUGGCCUCGCGUCUGAUUAGCUGGUUGGCGGGGUAACGGCCCACCAAGGCGACGAUCAGUAGCCGGACUGAGAGGUUGAACGGCCACAUUGGGACUGAGAUACGGCCCAGACUCCUACGGGAGGCAGCAGUGGGGAAUAUUGGGCAAUGGGCGCAAGCCUGACCCAGCAACGCCGCGUGAAGGAAGAAGGCUUUCGGGUUGUAAACUUCUUUUAAGAGGGAAGAGCAGAAGACGGUACCUCUAGAAUAAGCCACGGCUAACUACGUGCCAGCAGCCGCGGUAAUACGUAGGUGGCAAGCGUUGUCCGGAUUUACUGGGUGUAAAGGGCGUGCAGCCGGGUCUGCAAGUCAGAUGUGAAAUCCAUGGGCUCAACCCAUGAACUGCAUUUGAAACUGUAGAUCUUGAGUGUCGGAGGGGCAAUCGGAAUUCCUAGUGUAGCGGUGAAAUGCGUAGAUAUUAGGAGGAACACCAGUGGCGAAGGCGGAUUGCUGGACGAUAACUGACGGUGAGGCGCGAAAGUGUGGGGAGCAAACAGGAUUAGAUACCCUGGUAGUCCACACUGUAA
RNAcentral lists this ribosomal RNA (649 nucleotides) under uncultured bacterium. RNAcentral's name for it is "bacterial SSU rRNA". It matches the Rfam family "Bacterial small subunit ribosomal RNA", at positions 140 to 805 of the family's 1533-position model. The record is from RNAcentral.